This 499-nucleotide ribosomal RNA is filed under the name uncultured bacterium. RNAcentral's name for it is "partial 16S ribosomal RNA". It matches the Rfam family "Bacterial small subunit ribosomal RNA", at positions 28 to 507 of the family's 1533-position model. The record is from RNAcentral.
GACGAACGCUGGCGGCGUGCCUAAUACAUGCAAGUCGAGCGAAGAUUUUCUGGUGCUUGCACUAGAAAAACUUAGCGGCGAACGGGUGAGUAACACGUAAAGAACCUGCCUCAUAGACUGGGACAACUAUUGGAAACGAUAGCUAAUACCGGAUAACAGUAUUUCUCGCAUGAGAGAUAUUUAAAAGUUGGUUAUGCUAACACUAUGAGAUGGCUUUGCGGUGCAUUAGCUAGUUGGUGGGGUAAAGGCCCACCAAGGCGACGAUGCAUAGCCGACCUGAGAGGGUGAUCGGCCACACUGGGACUGAGACACGGCCCAGACUCCUACGGGAGGCAGCAGUAGGGAAUCUUCCGCAAUGGGCGAAAGCCUGACGGAGCAACGCCGCGUGAGUGAAGAAGGAUUUCGGUUCGUAAAGCUCUGUUGUUAGGGAAGAAUGGAUAUGUAGUAACUAUACAUGUAAGAGACGGUACCUAACCAGAAAGCCACGGCUAACUACGUG